This is a non-coding RNA of Cucurbita pepo subsp. pepo (vegetable marrow), 3741 nucleotides long. NCBI's taxonomy places the organism in Eukaryota, Viridiplantae, Streptophyta, Magnoliopsida, Cucurbitales, Cucurbitaceae. The record is from RefSeq and is a predicted model, not a curated record.
GCUGUUCCUAUAUAAACAAAGGCAGGCGGAGAUGGAGAGUGAACCCUAGUUUUCUUCUCUGCCUUAUGCUUCCAGUUCGAGAGUUGCUACUUUCAAUUUCCACUGUUUUUGUUGUUCUUAGCUGGUGAACUUGAGUUCUCCUUCGCUUCACGUUGCUGAAAGGUUUCUGAAUCUCCAAAGUAAUGCCGUCGGACGAUGAAAGGGAGGAGGUGGAGUUGGAUCUCUACUCUCCGGAUGUUGUUACAAACUACAAAAAUGUUGCCGAGAUCAUAAACGAGGCAAUGCAGCUGGUGAUAUCCGAAUGUAACCUAAUGUUAAAAUCGUUGACAUUUGCGAAGAAGGCGAUUUCUUUUCUCAGAGAGAAAACUAGCAACAUGUAUAAGAAUGUUCAGAUGAAGAUAGAACGGGCGUUGCCUUUCCAAUUUGCAUCUCUGAAACAAAACUGGCGGCCACUUUUCACCCCUAGUUAGCGAUGAAACAGUGAUGGAAGAAGGAAAUAUACUCAAGAUAUAAGCAACUAUAAUGCACUGGUUAUCAGGCAGCUUUGCCGAGGUGAUAUAGAACUUGGGGUUUGCCUCUUUUCCCUGUUGCUUAUAUUGUGUAUGUCAAAUUUGAGAUAAAAUAUAAAUUGUCACGAAAAUCUAUUGUGAUCUUAUGAUAGUGGGUGAAGUCUCUAUGGUUAAACAAUCCAUUUCCCCAUAACUGGAUUAUGAAGGCAACUUUGCCGAGGUAAUUUGUGACUUGUGGGUUACCUCUUUUCCCUGUUGCCUAUAUUGUGUAUGGUUAAUUUGGAAUUUUGUAGGUUGACAUCUUAUGUAUGAUGCCUAUGGUCUCAAUUGUCCAAAUUACAUACGAAAUAUACUGCCAUGAUAAUCUCUUGUGAUGUCUUAUGAUAGUGGCUAGAGUUUAUAUUAUUAACAAAAAGAUAUGCUUUCCCUCAACUAGAUGAAGGCAACUUUGCCGAGGUAAUUUGUCACUUGUGGGUUACCUCUUUUCCCUGUUGCCUACAUUGUGUAUGGUUAAUUUGGGAUUUUGUAGGUUGACAUUCCAUGGAUGAUGCCUAUGGUCUCAAUUGUCCAAAAUACAUACAAAACAUAUUGCCGUGAUAAUCUCUUGUGAUGUCUUAUAGUAGUGGCUAGAGUUUAUAUGCUUAACAAAAGUUUCCCUGUACUAGAUGAAGGCAACUUUGCCGAGGUAAUUUGUAACUUGUGGGUUACCUCUUUUCCCUGUUGCCUAGAUUGUGUAUGGUUAAUUUGGGGUUUUAUAGGUUGACAUUUCAUGGAUGAUGCCUAUGGUCUCAAUUUGUCCAAAAUACAUACAAAACAUAUUCCCAUGAUAAUCUCUUGUGAUGUCUUAUAGUAGUGGCUAGAGUUUAUAUGAUGAACAAAAGAUAUGUUUUCCCUGAACUAGAUGAAAGGCAACUUUGCCGAGGUAAUUUGUAACUUGUGGAUUACCUCUUUUCCCUGUUGCCUAGAUUGUGUAUGGUUAAUUUGGGGUUUUAUAGGUUGACAUUUCAUGGAUGAUGCCUAUGGUCUCAAUUGUCCAAAAUACAUACAAAACAUAUUGCCGUGAUAAUCUCUUGUGAUGUCUUAUAGUAGUGGCUAGAGUUUAUAUGCUUAACAAAAGUUUCCCUGUACUAGAUGAAGGCAACUUUGCCGAGGUAAUUUGUAACUUGUGGGUUACCUCUUUUCCCUGUUGCCUAGAUUGUGUAUGGUUAAUUUGGGGUUUUAUAGGUUGACAUUUCAUGGAUGAUGCCUAUGGUCUCAAUUUGUCCAAAAUACAUACAAAACAUAUUCCCAUGAUAAUCUCUUGUGAUGUCUUAUAGUAGUGGCUAGAGUUUAUAUGAUGAACAAAAGAUAUGUUUUCCCUGAACUAGAUGAAAGGCAACUUUGCCGAGGUAAUUUGUAACUUGUGGAUUACCUCUUUUCCCUGUUGCCUAGAUUGUGUAUGGUUAAUUUGGGGUUUUAUAGGUUGACAUUUCAUGGAUGAUGCCUAUGGUCUCAAUUGUCCAAAAUACAUACAAAACAUAUUCCCAUGAUAAUCUCUUGUGAUGUCUUAUAGUAGUGGCUAGAGUUUAUAUGAUGAACAAAAGAUAUGUUUUCCCUGAACUAGAUGAAAGGCAACUUUGCCGAGGUAAUUUGUAACUUGUGGAUUACCUCUUUUCCCUGUUGCCUAGAUUGUGUAUGGUUAAUUUGGGGUUUUAUAGGUUGACAUUUCAUGGAUGAUGCCUAUGGUAUCAAUUGUCCAAAUUACAUACAAAAUAUAUUGCCAUGAUAAUCUCUUGUGAUGUCUUAUAAUAGCACCUGGAGUUUAUAUUAUGAACAAAUGAUGUGCUUUCCCAUAACCAAAUAAUGAAGGCAACUUUGCCGAGGUGAUCUGUGACUUGUGGAUUACCUCUUUUCCCUGUUGCCUAUAGUGUGAAUGGUAAAAUUUGGUAUAUCAUAGGCUGAUUUCCAUGGAUGAUGCCUAUGUCCCAAUUGUCCAAAUUGUUGUAAGAUAUACAUUCUGAUGAUAUUCUCCUGUGAUGUCUUAUACUAAUGUGUAGACUUUCUAUUAUUAAUCAAUAAUCUGUUUCCCCAUAACUUGGAAUCACAUUUAGUGAUAAUUUGAAGCCUUUAGACUCACAGUUAUGCUGUUGGAGUUUUGGUUAGUGCUUAAAAUAUCGUUAUGUUGUGUAAAUAGUUUUUUAGUGCUCUUAUUCCUUCAAUUUUGUGGCAAAUAGUGGUUGUCUCUUAUGUUUUCUAUCUCUGCUUGUUUGACCAAGAGCCCUACAUGAUGAAUACUUUAUGGAAGCUAUGGAAUGUAUUCCAAAUGAGGCUUUUGUCAUAGUUACUCUGAUAGGGCAUGCUACUUUUUCAGGCAAUCUAUUGUUUUUUAACCAUCUUUAUUGACAUCAUAAGUUGCUAUCAUAUCAUGUGUAAUGUUAUUGGGCUUGGUUUAUACGUAGUUGAAUGUUUUGUGAUUUAUAAAUGCCUUCUUUCUUGUGGAGUUUUCAUUUUUUUUCAUUGAAUACGAGACGGGUUUCUAUUGGCUAAUUGAAUCCUCUUUGGGACUAGUUGAAUGUGUUAAUCACGAUCUGCUGCAAACCUAUCCUGUCUAUUAUAAGCCUGGUAGCAUUUUUUUCCUCCUUUGAAAUUAAUUUUAAUUUUGUUUCAGGUGUAGUUUGUAUGGUUCAUUUGCUCCUCGUGCAAUUGGUUACUUUGCAGGCGAUCACAUUGCCCACAUUAAAUAUACAGUCUUACUAAUGCCUAAUGGAUCUGAUCGAAUUACUUCUCAUGCAAUGCAACAACUUCAGCCCACAAAAAGCUGGUGAUGAUCCGGAAAUUAAGACCUGGUUAUCCCACAAAAACUGUUGAUGAUUCGGAAAUUAAGACCUGGUUAUCCCACAAAAACUGUUGAUGAUUCGGAAAUUAAGACCUGGUUAUCCCACAAAAACUGUGGACUCCAUUGUUAGCAUGCAUGAUUAGAAGAUUAUUGAACCAAGUUUUCUUAACAGGCUGGGCUAAUGGAUUCAACAUCGCAGGAAUGGAAUGAAUUACUCCUUUUGAUCUGCUUCCUCCUUUCCAUCCUUUCAAUUAUGGCACUGUUUUCUUCUUUUGAUUGUAUGUUUAACAGAACUUAUCUUUAACUGUGUGGGGAAGCCUACUCAAAAGUCCAAAGAGACUGUACUUCUAGCGAUUGGCUUGGAUUGAUACACUUGUUCAAUGUAGAAUUUUAGACACUAAAUUACGUCUUCAUGUA